GCGCCAGUAGCUCAGUUGGAUAGAGCAACGGCCUUCUAAGCCGUGGGUCGGGGGUUCGAAUCCCUCCUGGCGUG
RNAcentral lists this transfer RNA (74 nucleotides) under Desulfobulbus propionicus DSM 2032. It matches the Rfam family "tRNA". From Rfam's summary of the family: Transfer RNA (tRNA) molecules are approximately 80 nucleotides in length. Their secondary structure includes four short double-helical elements and three loops (D, anti-codon, and T loops). The record is from Rfam by way of RNAcentral. Lineage: Bacteria; Pseudomonadati; Thermodesulfobacteriota; Desulfobulbia; Desulfobulbales; Desulfobulbaceae.